This 58-nucleotide transfer RNA is filed under the name Tubulipora flabellaris. RNAcentral's name for it is "tRNA-Leu". The record is from RNAcentral. Lineage: Eukaryota; Metazoa; Bryozoa; Stenolaemata; Tubuliporida; Tubuliporidae.
CUUGAUUUAAAAAAAUUUUUAUACUAAGUUUAUAAUGGUAAUUAAAAAUUAACUAAGU